This 696-nucleotide ribosomal RNA is filed under the name uncultured bacterium. RNAcentral describes it as "bacterial SSU rRNA". It matches the Rfam family "Bacterial small subunit ribosomal RNA", at positions 111 to 823 of the family's 1533-position model. The record is from RNAcentral.
UAACGCGUGAGGAACCUGCCUCAAAGAGGGGGACAACAGUUGGAAACGACUGCUAAUACCGCAUAAGCCCACGACCCGGCAUCGGGUUGAGGGAAAAGGAGCAAUCCGCUUUGAGAUGGCCUCGCGUCCGAUUAGCUAGUUGGUGAGGUAAUGGCCCACCAAGGCAACGAUCGGUAGCCGGACUGAGAGGUUGAACGGCCACAUUGGGACUGAGACACGGCCCAGACUCCUACGGGAGGCAGCAGUGGGGAAUAUUGCACAAUGGGGGAAACCCUGAUGCAGCGACGCCGCGUGGAGGAAGAAGGUCUUCGGAUUGUAAACUCCUGUUGUUGAGGAAGGUAAUGACGGUACUCAACAAGGAAGUGACGGCUAACUACGUGCCAGCAGCCGCGGUAAAACGUAGGUCACAAGCGUUGUCCGGAAUUACUGGGUGUAAAGGGAGCGCAGGCGGGAAGACAANUUGGAAGUGAAAUCUAUGGGCUCAACCCAUAAACUGCUUUCAAAACUGUUUUUCUUGAGUAGUGCAGAGGUAGGCGGAAUUCCCGGUGUAGCGGUGGAAUGCGUAGAUAUCGGGAGGAACACCAGUGGCGAAGGCGGCCUACUGGGCACCAACUGACGCUGAGGCUCGAAAGUGUGGGUAGCAAACAGGAUUAGAUACCCUGGUAGUCCACACCGUAAACGAUGAUUACUAGGUGU